RNAcentral lists this ribosomal RNA (550 nucleotides) under uncultured Sordariomycetidae. RNAcentral describes it as "eukaryotic LSU rRNA". The stretch from base 220 to 373 matches the Rfam family "5.8S ribosomal RNA". The record is from RNAcentral. Lineage: Eukaryota; Fungi; Ascomycota; Sordariomycetes.
CUUGGUCAUUUAGAGGAAGUAAAAGUCGUAACAAGGUCUCCGUUGGUGAACCAGCGGAGGGAUCAUUACCGAGUUUACAACUCCCAAACCCCUGUGAACAUACCUUAAUGUUGCCUCGGCGGAUCAGCCCGCGCCCCGUAAAACGGGACGGCCCGCCAGAGGAUCCAAACUCUAAUGUUUCUUAUUGUAACUUCUGAGUAAAACAAACAAAUAAAUCAAAACUUUCAACAACGGAUCUCUUGGUUCUGGCAUCGAUGAAGAACGCAGCAAAAUGCGAUAAGUAAUGUGAAUUGCAGAAUUCAGUGAAUCAUCGAAUCUUUGAACGCACAUUGCGCCCGCUGGUAUUCCGGCGGGCAUGCCUGUUCGAGCGUCAUUUCAACCCUCAAACCUCACGGUUUGGUGUUGGGGAUCGGGUUUUCGCAAGAGAACCCGCCCCCUAAAUACAUUGGCGGUCUCGCUGCAGCCUCCAUUGCGUAGUAGCUAACACCUCGCAACUGGAACGCGGCGCGGCCAUGCCGUAAAACCCCAACUUCUGAAUGUGACCUCGAUC